RNAcentral lists this long non-coding RNA (332 nucleotides) under Salvia miltiorrhiza (redroot sage). Its description in RNAcentral is "long non-coding RNA (SMIL_LNC004121)". The record is from RNAcentral. Lineage: Eukaryota; Viridiplantae; Streptophyta; Magnoliopsida; Lamiales; Lamiaceae.
GAUUUGGGGGUUUUGCAAAUUUGGGGAUUUGUGUGGUGUUUAUGUCGUGGUGUGGUGGUGGAAGGUGGCAGUUGAGUGGAGGUGGAAGAGGGGAGGCAGCGCCGUUGCUGCCGUGUUGAUGUCGGAGAGGCGUUCCUCGCCGGAGAAGCAGUGGGCUGCUGCCGUGUUGAUCUGGAAGAUGUCGGAGAGACAUUUGCAAUUUUUUUUUGAGUAAACUCUUUAAAAUAUCAAAACGACGUCGUUUUGCCCACGUGGCUUGCCAGCGUGUAAAAAAAGCCACUCAAUAUGCCAUGUAAUGUCCACAUAAUCACCGGUCAAACUUAUUCCUCGCC